GAGAGAGAGCUCUAAUUCCCAAUGACAAGUAUUACUCUCAAGUGGCACAUCUGAAUUCAACAUUCUUGAUUAAUAUUGCAAAUAAUAUCUCGCUAUUCAAUUCCAAGCAAACACGAAGAGGUCAACGAAAAUGUCUUUUAGAGAGGAACACCAAGAAUUGCACAAAGAAAGAAGUUUUCCCACCCUUUUCUAAUAUAAAAAGCCCUCCAUAAACUUCCCUCACUACUUCACAGUCAAACCAUUGUGAUCCAUUCGAAAAGUGAGAAUUAUAUUAUGACUAACACAUGCUAAACUAGUUGAUUGAAAAAACGUUAUUGAUAUUGUCUACUCAAAAUGUUUUCACAAUAUCCACAUGAAAAAUAUUGGAAAAUAAGUUGUAAUUAUUUUCUAGCUAGCCCUCUCAG
This 404-nucleotide unclassified non-coding RNA is filed under the name Hevea brasiliensis (rubber tree). Lineage: Eukaryota; Viridiplantae; Streptophyta; Magnoliopsida; Malpighiales; Euphorbiaceae. The record is from RNAcentral.